RNAcentral lists this long non-coding RNA (550 nucleotides) under Bos taurus (domestic cattle). Its description in RNAcentral is "long non-coding RNA NONBTAT025993". The record is from RNAcentral. Lineage: Eukaryota; Metazoa; Chordata; Mammalia; Artiodactyla; Bovidae.
GCUCUUUGAAGAUAUUUAUAACUUCAAUGAGUUCACAUAUUUAUCAGGCAUUAAUUUCAAACCAUUUAACUAUCUUUCAGCAAAAUGAGAGAUCAAUGGGCUAAAAGAUUUUCAGUUGAAUUUCUUGUUUUCCAUUUUAGUGAAUCAUAACUUUAUGUCAAAUUUUUAAAUGAAAAUUCACAUUCAUGCAGAUAACACAUUCCGUGGCCAUGAUUAUCAAUAUUCACCACUUAUGAAGAGUAAAGGACCAUCUCCAGCCCCCGUGGACUCGUAGAUGGUCAGUUGUAAUAUCAGUGACUCAUUUAUGGUUUUCAGAUCACAAAUAUAGUCUUCUAAAUUCCUAUUUCCAAUAAAAUAUGUUUUAUAGAAUCAGUUCCACUGCCCUUAUGAUAAGUUUUACAGAUAAUUUGAUUUGAGUUUGCCAAUUUUGUGAUUUUUGCAUUUGAAGUAGAAUAUGUCUAUCAAAAGAUAUACUUUCUCUUUUUGGCAACAGAAUAUGGUAUUUCAUUUUCACUGCAUGACAUCCUUAGUCAUAAAUGAGUUCUCAGAA